AGCUCCAAUAGCGUAUAUUAAAGUUGUUGCGGUUAAAAAGCUCGUAGUUGGAUUUCUGUCGAAGACGGUCGGUCCGCUCUUUGAGCGUGUAUCUGAUGCGGCUUUGGCAUCCUCGUGGGGAACGUAACUGUGCUUGAUUGCAUGGUGCGGAAUUCACGACUUUUACUUUGAGGAAAUUAGAGUGUUCACGGCAGGCAAGCGCCUUGAAUACAUUAGCAUGGAAUAAUAAUAUAGGGCUUUUGUUCUAUUUUGUUGGUUUCUAGGACGAGAGUAAUGAUUAAUAGGGAUAAUUGGGGGCAUUUGUAUUAACGCGUCAGAGGUGGAAUUCUUGGAUUGCGUUACGACAAACUACUGCGAAAGCAUUUGCCAAGGAUGUUG
This 378-nucleotide ribosomal RNA is filed under the name uncultured eukaryote. Its description in RNAcentral is "SSU rRNA". It matches the Rfam family "Eukaryotic small subunit ribosomal RNA", at positions 587 to 969 of the family's 1831-position model. The record is from RNAcentral.